This 253-nucleotide long non-coding RNA is filed under the name Musa acuminata (dwarf banana). Its description in RNAcentral is "long non-coding RNA (MACU_LNC009027)". The record is from RNAcentral. Lineage: Eukaryota; Viridiplantae; Streptophyta; Magnoliopsida; Zingiberales; Musaceae.
UCGCUGUAGUAAAGGGAGACUUCUUAUGAUUGAACCAAUAAAAGAAGAGGUCAUUGAACAUCCAGAAGAGAGCCUUGAACAUGAAGAAGAAGAUGCAGAAGAAGAGCCACAACCGACUGAAGUUACGGUACAUGCACUAGCCGACUACUCAAACCCGCAAACGAUGAAAGUUGGAGGCCUUCUCAAACAACAACCGAUCACUGUUCUCAUCGACACGGGCAGUACUAAUAACUUUCUAAAUAGUAAGGUUGCU